UCCCGGGUGGUGUAACGGUAACACACCAGCCUUUGGAGCUGGGUUUCAUGGUUCGAAUCCAUGCCCGGGAGCCA
Molecule: transfer RNA, 74 nt
Filed under: bacterium
Lineage: Bacteria
Description: tRNA-Gln
Rfam family: tRNA
About the family: Transfer RNA (tRNA) molecules are approximately 80 nucleotides in length. Their secondary structure includes four short double-helical elements and three loops (D, anti-codon, and T loops).
Source: RNAcentral